This 117-nucleotide non-coding RNA is filed under the name Nomascus leucogenys (northern white-cheeked gibbon). Lineage: Eukaryota; Metazoa; Chordata; Mammalia; Primates; Hylobatidae. The record is from Rfam by way of RNAcentral.
GCUGGGCGUGGUGGCACACGCCUGUAAUCCAAGCACUUUGGGAGGCUGAGGUGGGCGGAUCACCUGAGGCCAGGAGUUUGAGACCAGCCUGGCCAACAUGGUGAAACCCUGCCUCUA